CUGAAAGUGACUUAUUAAAUAGAUAGUAUUUCUUUCCAAGAAAAAUGGUGGUGAUGGCUAGAUUAUUAUUUUUUUAAUUACAGCCAGCACCACAAUAUAUAAUACUUUAGAAUUUAGUAGGAAGAUUACUAGUAGUAGGAGUAGUGGGUGGAGUAGUUUUAGGAGUACAAGUAGAAGGAGUAGAGAGGAAUAGUAGUAGUAAUAGUAGAAUGGCCAACACGUUUUAAAACCUAAACUGUGUGGGAGGUGUAGUGUGCCAAAAAUAAUAAGAAGUAUGAAGAAGAACUAAACUGGCAGUUUCUCAAUCCUCCCCACUAACUAAGACACUGUACACUUCCUUGACUUUGCAUUGUUUGCAAAGGGCUUGAUUAAAUGUUCACCUUGAAAGGAAAGACAAUAUCUACCACAAAGAAGAAAGUUUCAGAUGUUGUACUGACCAAAGACAAAGUAAAAAAGUCAGCUGUUGAGAAAGGGCCGAUGAAAAAAGACAAAAUAACUCCUAUAAAAAAAGAUUCCCCUAAAGCAAAAGUGAAGAAGCAAGAACCUGUUUUGUCCAAAGGCAUGGUCAAACCAGCUGGUGUGAAAAAAGUUUCAGAUGUUGUACUGACCAAAGACAAAGUAAAAAAGUCAGCAGUCGAGAAAGGGCCGAUGAAAAAAGACAAAAUAACUCCUAUAAAAAAAGUUUCAGAUGUUGUAUUGUCCAAAGAUAAAGUAAAAAAGUCAUCUGUUAAGAAAGAGCCUGUGGAAAAAGCCAAAAUAAUUCCAAUGAAGAAAGGGCUUACAGUCUCCAAACUCAAAGGCAAAACAAUCACCACUAAGAAAGAACCGUCUGUGGCAAAAUCCAAAGCCAAAAGGUUACCUGUAAAGAAUGAAGCUGAGCCCCCUAAAGAGAAAGCCUCUCUAAGACACUCAACCAUGAGAAAAGAUAACCUCACAAAUAUACCAGUGCCAAUGGUAAAAGCCACUGCAAGAGUUGCUGCCACAAGACCCAUCUUUACAAGAAAAGCUGAAGACAAGCCAAAAGUACCAGAUGAGAAAGAAGAAAAGGUGAAGAAUCUUAAAACAUCAGAAGAUGAAGUUGAGAAGACUGAGAAGACUGAGAAGAGAGUGGUGAAAGAGGCUACAGAAGGAGACACGAAGCAUCCUGAUAAAGCAGAGAAUGGGCCAGAGUCUUCUUUUCCUUCAGUUCAGGACUAAGAAGAGUCUCUGGCUGAGGAGAAUGUCACAGACAAGAAAAAAACAGGCCAGAAAGUCUUGCAGUGUGUCUUAAUGGCCGGAAAGAAUACCUACUACCCUAUGCAACCUUUCACCCCUGGCAUAACCCCUGUGUCGAUGAGCCCAGCCAUGCGGUCAAUGAUGAUGCAGCAGGCACAGCAGCAGACACAGCAGCAGAAGGCCAGAGCGGCAGGGCAAUAGAACAGUUCCACACCUCAACGAUGCCUCAGCUACUCCAUCUGCACUGCAGUCUUCACCAGCAGGUGGCACUGUUUGUUUUUACUGCUGUGCCACUGGCUUAAUUGAAAACGCAGGACAAUCAGGGGCUGAAGUGUACGGAAGAAUGGUCAGUACAGUACCAGUAAGGUUCCUAUGACCGGUUGAGCUCCCCGAAACCCCUUUCCAUCACCAGCUUUGCUGCUUUUGUUAUCGCUCAGCAUCAAGUCCUUUGUCAUGUAUGUCUUUCAGCAAAUGUAUUUGUCAUGAACACGAGUGUAGGUUUUGUCUAUAUUACCUUCAGCAGUGAAUUUAUCACUUAUGUAAAUUUCAACUAAAUGCAGUGUAUAUAUGCAUAGAAAUUGUAAUUUAGCUUCAAUCCAGUGUAUAUAAUGUACAUGUUGAUAUUACAUCUUGCGGUUUACAUUUGUUGAAUGGUUACUUGGCAUUCAUCUUUUGCAUCACAACAUUCAUCCCUUUUGUGAUUACAGAACAUGUAUGCACAUAACAUUUUGGGUCAUGCAUUAUCCACGGCAUUGUAAUGUUUCACUUCACCACAUGUUUUGAUUGUUUUGUGAAAACUGUUGCUUGUUUUGGUGCGAAACAUAUCCAUCUCUAUGCUUUGGAGAGAGUGCCAUGCACUGCAGUUAUUGCUCUCUUUAUCUUAUCUGUACAUUGAAAUCCUAAGCCAUAUAUUGACAUUCACAUCAAACCCUGAAAAAGCACAAAAAAACUAAGAAAUAACUGAUAAAGAUUUGUAUUUGCCUAAAAUGUAUUUGUAUACAAAAAUAUAUGUAUUUAUAUAUAUAUAUAUAUAUAUAUACAUAUAUAUAUAUAUAUAUAUAUGUAUGUGUAUGUAUUAUAUUCUUAAAAAUACAUAUAUAUAUAUAUAUGUAUUUUAAGAUUCCUAUCUGUCAUUAGCUAAUAAAAAAAUUGUAAUCAACGUAGUCCCCUUGCCAAAGACGGCAAGGCAAUGUCACAUACAAUAACCCUGUCACAUACUUGUCAGAUGUAAUUUGAUCUGGUUCACAGGCAUUGUAAGACUUACUGUCAUCUGGCCAGAUCUACGCCUACAGUAAAUAUAUGUGACUGUCAAACACUCCCUUAUCACGUCCUACGCUGUUUGCAAUGUCUUCCGUUGUUUGAUGUGUUGCUUCAAUGUGACUGCUUUGGCUUGCAUCUUGCUGCUCGGCGUGUUGGUAAAGAAUUGUGGGAAGAUGAAUACACCACCAUUCGUGGGAGCUCCCGUUAUUAUCCUUGAUAACCUCUCUGACUCUUUCACACUGUCUCUCUUAGACUGUGUGUACCGACAUUACAACCGUAGAGGAUGUCAUGUCACUGACCAUCCUCACAUUUAUGACCAACGACGACUCUCGUGAGAUGGCGUUAUGAUGUCGUCCUGCGAGCUAUAGGCAUGGAUGAUAUUGUUGCCAUCGUAUUCCUUUCACGGCACUUGCUGCCGUGUGCAGCCACCUACUAUGGGAUUCUGUCCAAGUAGGAGUGCCUUACUCUGAUAAUGGCGUUGCUGAGCUGAGCCCAGCAUUUCCAUUGAUGUCUUACUCAACUAGACUGAUGUCAGGAGUCCAGGUUUCAAGACCAUGUGAAAGAAACUGCUGGACCUGAGGUCAGAUAUCCUUGGUAUAGUAGAAGUGAGAAUAUACACAUGCAGAUACCGUGAUUGCCUGGCAGCCCAUCCUGUUAAAACCUGGGAGCCCAUCCUGUUAAAGCAUGGAAGCGAAGGCCAAGCUACUCCAUUUUGACCUAUUGGAGGUUAGUUAUCCAUACAUUUGACAGGGGUUGCAUUGUCUCUUUUUGAGAGGACACAUGCUUCCUCAGUCAGCAACACCAGCUUGGCAAAUUAUUGAGAAGUAGGCCAGGGAAAAAAAAAAUUACUUUGAAGUUCCAGAGCGCCAUUUCCUGUUCCACCGGGGAGAUGCUGCUGUUUGCUGUGUGUUCAUAUUUUUUUCUGAGGAUCUGACUGAUGGCUCGAGGCACAGCCUCCCCACAAAGAUCCACAAUCCACAAAGAAUCAACUUCAGCGAUGACUCGAAUUAUAUCGUUAUAUUCAUUAUAACUACGUCUUAUCUUUCUAUUUUUGCUUUUUUUUGGUCAGAGUAACUUGUCUACUCGUGGUGGAAUGGCGUUGUUGGUUGGCUGCUCCUUCAUUAUGAGCUUGGUCAUACCAUCAUACCUGCCCAGUCAAGAAAACAAGCAUUGGCAUUGACUAAGACAACUGUUUGGUAUGAGGUAUAAAUACCUGAUGUUUACUUCGUUUACAAACUUGCCCCUGGCGAAUUUCAGUGAAUUUGUUCACUUGUUGACAGUCUUGACAGAGUACAGACCUCAGAUACACAUGAUUAAUAAAAACAGAUUUUGUUUUUAUCAUGUGAGCUGUAACAGCUGUUGAAAAAAUUGAUUCAGAAAUUAAAUUAUGUUUGGGGUUGUUUUGAUAAUUUCCUAUGUAUUAUGCAUGAGUGUUAUUUGAACAGACUGCACAUUUUGCAGUUCUUUUCUCUUGAUCUGUCUGUUACACUUUGGUGAGCACUGAAUGACUUGUAUGACUUGAACUAUUAGCUUUAAUCAGAUCUCAGUCAGACAUCAGUUGAGCUGUAACGGAAGGAUAUACUGUAGAUAGUGUUGCUAUGAGAUGUGUAUGCUCUGUUUACCUGCUCAAAAAUAUUGACAUGCAUGAAGGAAAACAAACUCUCAGCUGCCUUCUGUGCCAGCAACAAUAUAAAAUAUAUUCCCAAAGGCUAAUUAUAUCCAAGAUGAAUUGUCUAUCCAAAUUUGCAUGCAGGUAGAUUUGAGUCUUUUAGCAACUUUAUCUAGCUCUGCAGUUGAUCACAUCUUAAUGUGACAGACGUGUUAAUGAUACAGCUCUUUUAGUAGUUAUGUUUAAACGCUCAAAACCCUUAUAAUAAUAACACAUUUCUUAUUUAAAGCAUUUUCAAAUCUCCAGAAUAUUUAUUGGGAAGUAUGUUGUACAUGGUCCAUAAAUGAACUGAUAAUACAAUACUUACCGUUACCAUAUUACAUGUUAUUUUUUUUUUAUAACACAUUCAUUUCAUUUUAGAGUACAUUAAGCAAAAUGAGAGAUACACAUGGUAAUAUGACACCAUUGUAAUAAAUUACGUAAAUAUUUGAGUGUGUGCUUCAUUUUAGUAUGUG
This is a long non-coding RNA of Esox lucius (northern pike), 4599 nucleotides long. The record is from Ensembl. NCBI's taxonomy places the organism in Eukaryota, Metazoa, Chordata, Actinopteri, Esociformes, Esocidae.